GAUGAACGCUGGCGGCGUGCUUAACACAUGCAAGUCGAACGGAAAGGCUCCUGCUUGCAGGGGUACUCGAGUGGCGAACGGGUGAGUAACACGUGGGUGAUCUGCCCUGCACUUCGGGAUAAGCCUGGGAAACUGGGGCUAAUACCGGAUAGGACCACAUUUUGGAUGGUGUGGUGGAGAGUUUUUCGGUGUGGGAUGAGCUCGCGGCCUAUCAGCUUGUUGGUGGGGUAAUGGCAUACCAAGCCGUCGACGGGUAGCCGGCAUGGGAGGGUGGACGGCGACAAUGGGACUGAGGGACGGACCAGACGGGUACGGGAGGCAGCAGUGGGGAAUAUUGCACAAUGGGGGCAAGCCUGAUGCAGCGGCGCCGGGUGGGGGAUGACGGCCUUCGGGUUGUGAACUCCUGUCGCUGGAGACGAAGCGGUAGUGACGGUACCUGGAGAAGAAGCACCGGCUAACUACGUG
RNAcentral lists this ribosomal RNA (465 nucleotides) under uncultured bacterium. RNAcentral's name for it is "partial 16S ribosomal RNA". It matches the Rfam family "Bacterial small subunit ribosomal RNA", at positions 28 to 507 of the family's 1533-position model. The record is from RNAcentral.